CAGCCGCCGCGGUAAUACCAGCCCCGCGAGUGGUCGGGACGGUUAUUGGGCCUAAAGCGCCCGUAGCCGGCCCGGCAAGUCCCUCCUUAAAGCCUCGGGCCCAACCCGAGGACGGGGGGGAUACUGCCGGGCUAGGGGGCGGGAGAGGCCGGCGGUACUCCCGGGGUAGGGGCGAAAUCCGUUAAUCCCGGGAGGACCACCAGUGGCGAGGGCGGCCGGCUGGAACGCGCCCGACGGUGAGGGGCGAAAGCCGGGGGAGCGAACCGGAUUAGAUACCCGGGUAGUCCCGGCUGUAAACGAUGCGGGCUAGCUGUUGGGCGGGCUUAGAGCCCGCCCAGUGGCGCAGGGAAGCCGUUAAGUCCGCCGCCUGGGGAGUACGGCCGCAAGGCUGAAACUUAAAGGAAUUGGCGGG
RNAcentral lists this ribosomal RNA (412 nucleotides) under uncultured microorganism. Its description in RNAcentral is "bacterial SSU rRNA". It matches the Rfam family "Archaeal small subunit ribosomal RNA", at positions 459 to 872 of the family's 1478-position model. The record is from RNAcentral.